AACCCGACUCCAUGAAGCUGGAUUCGCUAGUAAUCGCGCAUCAGCCACGGCGCGGUGAAUACGUUCCCGGGCCUUGUACACACGCCCGUCAAGCCAUGGAAGCCGGGAGUGCCUGAAGUGCGUGAGCGCAAGCAGCGCCCUAAGGUAAAACCGGUGACUGGGGCUAAGUCGUAACAAGGUAAC
This 183-nucleotide ribosomal RNA is filed under the name uncultured bacterium. RNAcentral's name for it is "partial 16S ribosomal RNA". It matches the Rfam family "Bacterial small subunit ribosomal RNA", at positions 1309 to 1500 of the family's 1533-position model. The record is from RNAcentral.